This 320-nucleotide long non-coding RNA is filed under the name Capsicum annuum. RNAcentral's name for it is "long non-coding RNA (CANN_LNC003609)". The record is from RNAcentral. Lineage: Eukaryota; Viridiplantae; Streptophyta; Magnoliopsida; Solanales; Solanaceae.
AAUUAUGAUAAAAUUAGAUUUAGAUAUCCGUCAAGAUAUUAUAAAUAUAAUUUAAAAUGAAUAAAGUACAACAAUACAAAGAAUUAAAACAAAUUAUUUCUGAAAAACGUAAAGAAUUAAAAAUAAGAAUAAAAAAACUACAUUAUAAUAUAUUUGCCGGAGUUAGUAAAAACUCAAUAGAUACACAAAAAGAUGAAAUAUCAAAAUUAGAAUCACAAAUAGAUAGUUUAAAAUAUAUAUAUCAACAUGAACUAUUCACAAUAAAAUGAACAAAGAAGAAUUUAUAAUAGAUGAAAAAAUAUAUGAAAACCACGAAGGAU